GCCCGGCUCCGGGGUUCGUGUUUGAUUUGGGGCGGUAGGGCCGGGCGGCCUCGCUGCCCUUCAUCGCUCUGCCUGUACAGCUGGGGCUGCCCCGGGGCCGUGCCUGGCGCUCCCUGAGUACAGCUCACACAAACUGUACUCGGGCAAUGGAGUACCGAGGAGCUGGCAUUGGAUGGGAGCUGUAAAUUAUUAUCUAUGCUAAUGUGGAAACAGUUCCUUAUUCCUGGGAAUAGUUUUAUGAAAGCAGAACAUCUCCUGUGAUUAUGAUAACCCAAAGGUUCCAGUGCUGUGCCCUGCCAACCACAGCCCAGCUGCUUUUGUGACCUGUGCCCUGCUCUGAGGGGACCUGUGGGGAAGAGUGAGGCAGGAAAAGAACUGAAACAACUGUGGUUGUCACUUCUGAGAGUUGAAGAGUUACACGGUCUGCUGCAUUAUCAUAAAGGAGAUACAGCUUGGUCAAGACUUUUGUGACUAACAAUAAUAAAUUCUAGGAGUGUCCCACAUAUAUAGAGCCUUUACAGAUGCAGAGACUGUCUGCAGGGAUCUGCUGCCUCGUUUGGAGGAGCCCCAGGGUGAAGGCAUAGAGCCAUCAGAGUCUCUGUGGACUUCUUUUGCUGAUGGCAGAGUCAGACUGAGAAUAGAUAACUCAUGCCCACAGACUCCCAUAACAGUUCAUCAGAUGUUCAAGGAGAGCCUGGAAAAAUAUGGAUCCCUUAAUGCUUUGGCCAGCAAAAAGAAUGGAAAAUGGGAGAAAAUAACUUUUUCAGAGUAUUAUUGCCUCUCUAGGAAAGCAGCCAAGAGCUUCUUGAAGCUUGGUCUUGAAAGAUUCCAUAGCGUAGCAAUCCUUGGAUUUAAUUCUCCAGAAUGGUUCAUCUCAGCUGUUGGAGCUAUUUUUGCUGGAGGAAUUGUCACAGGAAUAUAUACAACCAAUUCUCCAGAGGCCUGUCACUACAUUGCCCAUGACAGCAGGACUGAUGUCAUGGUUGUGGAAAAUCAGAAACAGCUGGACAAGAUAAUGCAGAUCUGGAAUCGGUUGCCCCACUUGAAGGCUGUGGUGCUAUAUAAGGACUCCAUUGCAGAGAGACAUCCAAAUUUGUACACGAUGGAAGAGUUUCUGGAGCUGGGAGGUGACGUCUCUGACAGUACUUUGGAUGACAUUAUUAACUCCCAAAAGCCGAAUCAGUGCUGUGUUCUGAUAUACACCUCUGGAACAACUGGGAAGCCAAAAGGAGCCAUGCUGAGUCAUGACAACAUAACUUGGACAUCAGCCCAUUGCAGCAGAGCAGGAGGUAUGCAUCCUGCAGAGGUCCAGCAGGAGUCUAUAGUCAGUUAUCUCCCACUCAGCCACAUAGCUGCACAGAUCUAUGACCUGUGGACUGGAAUCAAAUGGGGAGAGCAAGUUUACUUUGCUGAGCCAGAUGCUCUAAAGGGCAGCUUGAUCAACACACUAAAAGAAGUGCAGCCAACAUCUCAUAUGGGAGUUCCCAGAGUAUGGGAGAAAAUCAUGGAGAAGUUAAAGGAUGUUUCUGCUCAGUCAGGAUUUAUAAAGAAGAAAAUGCUUUCCUGGGCUAUGUCACUUAGCUUAGAGAGGAACCUGAACGGCUCAAACAGCAGUGAUCUAAAGCAGCUCUGGACAAGAUUAGCAGACUACUUAGUGCUUGCGAAAAUCCGUAGUGCCCUGGGGCUUUCUUCCUGUCAGAAGCACUUUUCUGGUGCUGCUCCUCUCAAUACAGAAACACUGUAUUUCUUCCUGGGUCUGAACAUCACUCUGUAUGAGGCCUAUGGGAUGAGUGAGACCACAGGCCCACAUUGCCUUUCUGGGCCUUACAUUUACAGGCAGCACAGCUGUGGUAAACCAGCACCUGGAUGCAGAGUGAAACUGGUGGACAAAGAUACGGAAGGCAAUGGAGAAAUCUGUUUCUGGGGAAGGACUGUUUUCAUGGGUUAUUUAAAUAUGGAAGACAGAACAAAAGAAGCCUUUGAUGAGGAGGGGUGGCUGCAUUCUGGAGAUUUAGGAAAGCUAGACAAGGAUGGCUUUCUCUAUGUCACUGGAAGAAUUAAAGAUUUGAUUAUUACAGCUGGAGGUGAAAACGUGCCUCCAAUUCCAAUUGAAGAUGCUGUUAAAAAAGAACUUCCAAUUGUUAGUAAUGCUAUGGUUAUUGGAGAUAAGAAGAAGUUUUUGUCAAUGUUCCUGACCCUAAAGAGUGUGCUGGACCCAGAUACAUCUGAUCCUACUGACAUUCUCACAGAGCAAGCCAGAGACUUCUGCCAGAGGAGUGGUAGUAAAGCCACCAAAGUGUCCGAGAUUGUAGCUACAAGAGACCAGGCGACCUACAGAGCCAUCCAGGAGGGAAUCGACAGAGUCAACAGCACUGCUACCAACAGGGUUCACUGCAUCCAGAAAUGGAUCGUCCUGCCAAGAGAUUUUUCCAUUUCUGGGGGAGAACUAGCCCCACAUGAGAUGUACAAGGUCACUGCAACAGGCAAGCAGUAUUUACCAAAGCAGGCCCUAUGGUUGAGGAUGAAGGCAGAGCAAUCAAAUGAAAAUGUGAAGUUGACUGUACAGGGAUUGCACGUUCUUCACUCGGAAGGAAAUCCUUCGGAGAACCCCUUCAAAGAAAGGAUUGUGGAGUCUUUCUCAGAAGAUGGAGAGGGGAGCCUGAGCUUCAAUGACUUUGUGGAUAUGUUCUCCGUGCUCAGUGAAAUGGCUCCCCGAGAGCUUAAAGCAAUCUAUGCCUUUAAGAUUUAUGAUUUUAACACAGAUAACUUCAUUUGUAAAGCAGACUUGGAAAAAACCCUCAAUAAGCUGACCCGGGAAGAGCUGACAGCAGAGGAAAUCACUCUGGUUUGUGAGAAGGUGAUAGAAGAAGCUGACAUGGAUGGUGAUGGGAAAUUAGGAUUUGCAGAUUUUGAAAACAUGAUUUCCAAGGCACCAGACUUUCUCAGAUAUUUCCAGCUAAGAAAACAUCUUCUUUAUACUGCUAUUCAUGUAGAAGCUGCUGGGAUCAGGUAGGGUUUCCUUUAAUCAAACAAAAGGCUGUGCUGCUCCUACAAAGCUGGUAGAGAACAGCGAUCAAAUGUGAAGAAUUGAAGGCAGAUCUGAAAAUUCAGUAGAAGCUGCAGUUUUGGAAGUUUCCUGUGCCAUGACUGACUUUACUGCUGUGUUGUAGAGGCUGGCAAACUGCUGACUGAGAAUUCCAAGGUGAUGUUUUGGGAAGAUGAGGAAAUGAGUGAAAAUCACUGAGUGCUGGGUAUUCAGCAGGGCAAGAUGAUGAGUAAAAAGUGGGAUGAACUGAGAUGUGUAUUAUAGAUUAGUACUUUCCACAUAAGAAUCUGAAGAUGUUUCUGCCAGUCCAGCCUUUCUGAAUCUCAGGCACUCCAGGGAUUUUUGUCCUCUAAUGAGGGCUUCCUAGAACUCAGCAGAAAGUACUGAAAGAAUUCUGGUCCACAAAGAGACAGAAGCAUCAUGUGAUCUACAGGAUAUUUGGAACAGACACAUUUUUAUCUUCUCUCCUGGCCAAGCACUCUGGCAAAGAUGGUUGGUUGUUGGAUUGUGGUAUUUCCCUGCACCCCCCCCCCUUUUUUUAACAGUCAGAAUCAGAAUAUUAUUAAAGGUAUUUCCACAGAGUUUUUAUAUUUAUGAAUAUUUAAUACUGCUCUUUAAAGCGAAAAAAACCCACCCCAAAACCAAAAAACUGAGAGAUUAGCUUUCGUUUGUUUUCCAAGAGUAUUUGAAAGAAAGGAUGGGCCUUAAAUAAUGAGAUGCCUCUAUCACUGUGUUGGACAGCUGGGAUCUUGCAUGGAAAAUAUGUGAGGUGAAAGCACUGCUGUCAAGAUCAAGCUCCCAGUGUUGAAGACAGCCACAGCCCACGUUUGCCUUUCAGCCACUAAAAUGGCAACUGCUGGGUUUGGUGCUUACCUUCAACCAAUAUUUUAUGGAUUGUUGUGUCCUUAUAAAACUUGAAAUAUUUGCUUUUUGUAUAUGAUAACUGUGUACGUGAUUCAUUUCUUCCCAAGAUAAAUGUUGAAACUCAGUCCUUACUCUCAAAGGGGCUCCUGCAUUUUACUCAUUCUAUGGGCUGAUAAUGUUCUUGAAUGGAGGAACAUGGUCAUCUGUAACUCAUGAAGAAGUUGAAGAAGCACAGAACUACUAUUAAGGACAUGAAAAGAUAUUUUCUUUUGAAACAAGCUAUGCAAUCUCUCCUAUAAAAUGCAUGAAUGCAGUUCUAUCUUUUUCUUUCCUCUCCAGCUGGAAAUCAGCUAGAUCUUUUUGUUGGGUUUUUUUUUUUUUUGGUUUGUUGUUUCGAUUUGUUUUUUUUUAUUUAUUUUAUUUUUACUUCCAGUAUUGUUUAGGUACUGGGACCUGAAGACAAUCAUAUGUGUAUUAAUUACUGUUCUAACAGUCAAUAGAAGGGCUCUGUCACUUACAUGGCUUCUGUAUCAAGGUCAUCACAAUUAAAACUUUUAAAGCAUUCUGUUGUGCUUUGAGAAUUUUUAGGCUGACCACAUACUAAUUUCCUUUCUGAUCAUUAUUCCAAUUACUAUAAAGUCAAAUCUUUCAAAGGAUCAAAUGUGUUAUAUAGAAAACUGUUAAAACAGAGAACCUAACCUGUUUAUCAUUUCUGUAGGGAUGGUGAUAGCUAUCUACAUCGGAAACUCUUCUGUGUGGUGACCUUGCAGGGUAGCUUACUGUUCAGAUUUACACACUAUGAAUAAAGAAGAAAUAUUUCUCUAGCAGUAUGUGUGUACAUUAAAAGUUUCAAUGGAAAUUUUGGAUAUUCAAAGUAUAUGGGACAGACAUGUUUAAGAUUGCUCAGUGAAAAUGACAGGAAUAGCAUUUAUUUGUAAUACAUAUCUUAGAGCUAUUAUGUUAAUUGAUGUUUAUAGCAUUUUAAUGCUUCCACCUACUGAUUUCUGUUUAGAUCAAGAAAUUAAAACCUGAAUUCCCUUACCCAAGUUAAAAUUAACAGAAAUCAAUCCUCAUGUUCAGUUCUGACUGAGUAAAAAGAGAUUCAAGCCUGUUUUUCAUUUUGAGCAGAUUAAGUUAGAUGUAUCGGCUGAUUCAAAAUAUUUGCAAGACAUUGGUAUGAAGAGAGAUUAUUACUUAAAUUACUUCCUAUUAAUUGAAGUAUCAGUCUAAUUUAAAAAAAAAACUUAUUUCAAGACAGACAUUUAAUCUUGGAAACCUUGUGAGGUGUGUAGGAAGAUAUGAUUCGGAUGUGUUUGUAAAAUACCAGGUUACAAGAUUUGGGAUGAGAUUAUCCAGACAAAAAGGAUCUGGUGCUGAUGACAUAGGUCAAUUCCUUUUGGUAUCUACAUUCUUCUGUGUGUUAUGAUUGUCAUUAGCUAAAAUUCCUGUAUUCCUGACACUGUGUCAUUCUUGGGUUAUAUCACACUCCCCUCCUAAAGGACGAGCAGCCUUGGAAGUGCUCAGUGUGUUGUUUCCCUGGGCCCUCCCUGACCUAAAUGUCACAAAGCCCUUAGGAGACACAUGAGCUUGCAGCCAGAUGUUUGACCUUGGAGUCAUCUACCUGAGCUGAAAAACAAAGAGAAAAAGAAAUUAGGAGUACCUUGUGGAGAAAUAUUCCUGUUCAUAGAGACGUGUUCUUGCCAAAUACUGUAGAUACAAAUGUGUGCAGCUGUCCUAACUGCCUUCAUUUUUUUGACUUACAUUCAUGUCCUGUAGCAAAAACCAUUGUGUGUCCCUGGUGUUUGAGAGAGAUCUGUGCACUCAAUCCUUCAGCACUGCCUAGUGGUGGGUGAGUAUUCCCAGCACCUGAUGGCAGAGGUGAGGGAUAGAUUUCUGAAGUGCUUUGUAUUUGUGCUUUCACAGUUGUCUGUAGCUGGAUGUCUUGUGACUGGCAGUGUUCUUACCGCAAGAUGGUUGAGUGUGUGGUUCAGUGGGAUCCAAAUUUAAUCCUGUCAUGAGGUACCAAACCUGCUGGAUUUUGGCAAUUGUAUUACUGGCACAAUCUAGCAGAUUCUCUAGCAAGCAUUUCUUCAACCAGCCUUACUCUAAAAGAACCAUCAGGCCAUGUGGAAAGAAACUGGAACAGUAAAAGAGGUUUAGAUUAAAACAGUUUUGGAUUUUGCCCAAAAGUAAGAGGACAUACAUUUUGAAUUGCAGAAAAGUGUUAAAUAUAAACAGAUGUUACUAUAUUUUUUUCAUAAAUGGACAAAGAAAAAUGAAAACCGUUACCUAAAGCCUCUAUCAAAACAGCUCUGUGUGUGGUCUCUCAUUUAUAUACAGUUAAAGCAUCUUGGGGACAAAAAAAGAGUUGUGAAAGUAAAUAAAACUAUCAAAAAGUAAGAAAUAACUUGGUUAUUUUAAUUGAUCAUUGUUUUAAGGAAAUACUGUAAACCAAGACUUGCAACAGCCUGCAGGCCAAAAUCUGAUUUGCAUUACUUCCACAUUAAUCUCCAGUAACUGCUGACUUCAGUGGAAUUAACUAAUGUCUGUAAUUGGAUCUGUGUUGGGGAAAGUUCUUGAGGUUUUGCUGCAGUUCUUUGUGUCCUCUCAUGCCCUUUUAAUGUAAUCUUAAUAUGCUGAAUGCUCUUUUCUUAACCAAUAACCACACGCUCUUCUUUUUCAACAGGCUCACUGUUGGAAUCUCUUGCAAUUUCUUGCAGUCACAGAGUAACAGUCUCCUUUCCUUUUCUCCCUAGGACUAAUUUUUAUCUCCUUAUGCAUGUUAGAGGCACUUAUGAUAAAACCUCACAAGGUGGCACCACACCACCAUAGCAAGUCAUAAAUUCAUGACUUCAUUUAACACUUUAAAUGUCCCUGAAAUACAGGAUACUCUGUAGAAUCUAUGAUGCCAUAAACAAAAAUAUGAAACUGUGAUUAAUUACUGAUUUUAAAACUGUACAUAAUUACAGAGAAAGUUUUGUGUUUCUCAACAGCAGAUCAAUAAAAACAUGUUUUAAUAAAGUCCCUGGAAAUUGAAACGUACA
Pyrgilauda ruficollis (rufous-necked snowfinch) is the source of this 6954-nucleotide RNA transcript. It is a transcript of the gene named calcium and integrin-binding family member 2-like, with no coding region annotated. The record is from RefSeq and is a predicted model, not a curated record. Lineage: Eukaryota; Metazoa; Chordata; Aves; Passeriformes; Passeridae. The transcript has 22 exons.